CCUACGGGUGGCAGCAGUGGGGGAUAUUGCACAAUGGGGGAAACCCUGAUGCAGCGACGCCGCGUGAGUGAGGAAGUACCUCGGUAUGUAAAGCUCUAUCAGCAGGGAAGAAAAUGACGGUACCUGAAUAAGAAGCCCCGGCUAACUACGUGCCAGCAGCCGCGGUAAUACGUAGGGGGCAAGCGUUAUCCGGAUUUACUGGGUGUAAAGGGAGCGUAGACGGCGAAGCAAGUCAGAAGUGAAAACCCAGGGCCCAACCUUGGGAGUGCUUUUGAAACUGAGUGGCUAGAGUGCAGGAGAGGUAGGCGGAAUUCCUGGUGUAGCGGUGAAAUGCGUAGAUAUCAGGAGGAACACCGGUGGCGAAGGCGGCUUACUGGACUGUAACUGACGUUGAGGCUCGAAAGCGUGGGGAGCAAACAGGAUUAGAUACCCUUGUAGUC
RNAcentral lists this ribosomal RNA (440 nucleotides) under uncultured bacterium. Its description in RNAcentral is "partial 16S ribosomal RNA". It matches the Rfam family "Bacterial small subunit ribosomal RNA", at positions 338 to 795 of the family's 1533-position model. The record is from RNAcentral.